This 348-nucleotide unclassified non-coding RNA is filed under the name soil metagenome. RNAcentral describes it as "partial contains 5.8S ribosomal RNA, internal transcribed spacer 2, and large subunit ribosomal RNA". The stretch from base 1 to 120 matches the Rfam family "5.8S ribosomal RNA", at positions 35 to 154 of the family's 154-position model. The record is from RNAcentral.
GAUGAAGAACGCAGCGAAAUGCGAUAAGUAAUGUGAAUUGCAGAAUUCAGUGAAUCAUCGAGUCUUUGAACGCACAUUGCGCCCCCUGGUAUUCCGGGGGGCAUGCCUGUCCGAGCGUCAUUGCUGCCCUCAAGCACGGCUUGUGUGUUGGGCCCCCGCCCCCCGGCUUCGGGGGGCGGGCCCGGAAGGCAGCGGCGGCACCGCGUCCGGUCCUCGAGCGUAUGGGGCUUCGUCACCCGCUCUGUAGGCCCGGCCGGCGCCCGCCGGCGACCCCAAUCAAUCUUUCCAGGUUGACCUCGGAUCAGGUAGGGAUACCCGCUGAACUUAAGCAUAUCAAUAAGCGGAGGA